This 490-nucleotide ribosomal RNA is filed under the name uncultured bacterium. Its description in RNAcentral is "partial 16S ribosomal RNA". It matches the Rfam family "Bacterial small subunit ribosomal RNA", at positions 30 to 507 of the family's 1533-position model. The record is from RNAcentral.
AUUGAACGCUGGCGGCAGGCCUAACACAUGCAAGUCGAACGGUAACAGGAAGAAGCUUGCUUCUUUGCUGACGAGUGGCGGACGGGUGAGUAAUGUCUGGGAAACUGCCUGAUGGAGGGGGAUAACUACUGGAAACGGUAGCUAAUACCGCAUAACGUCGCAAGACCAAAGAGGGGGACCUUCGGGCCUCUUGCCAUCGGAUGUGCCCAGAUGGGAUUAGCUAGUAGGUGGGGUAACGGCUCACCUAGGCGACGAUCCCUAGCUGGUCUAAGAGGAUGACCAGCCACACUGGAACUGAGACACGGUCCAGACUCCUACGGGAGGCAGCAGUGGGGAAUAUUGCACAAAGGGCGCAAGCCUGAUGCAGCCAUGCCGCGUGUAUGAAGAAGGCCUUCGGGUUGUAAAGUACUUUCAGCGGGGAGGAAGGGAGUAAAGUUAAUACCUUUACUCAUUGACGUUACCCGCAGAAGAAGCACCGGCUAACUCCGUG